GGCCGCACACAAACGACAAAGAAUCUCUGCUCUUUUGCUGCAGGGCCACUUUGACUCACAGGCGGCCAACUUCACAUCUCAUCUCUGCCGUGUGAGAGGUGGCAAUGGUGUGUGUGUGUGUGUGUGUGUGUGUGUGUGUGUCUGUGUGUGUGUGUGUGUGUGGGGGGGGGGGGGGUUGAUCCACCUGCUUCAGAGUCAUCAUUUCACCCUGAUGUGAUGUCUCACCUCAGACUCUUUAGGAAUUCCAAAGCAAAUGUGAGCAUGGCUGAGCUGGCUCCAGUGCUGAGGAGGGAUGUCGUCAUCUGCCCAGUCUGCAUCAUUGGAGGGUGCCAGAAAUACCAAGAACUCCACCUGGACCCACUGCACCUGUAAAGACCUGCAAAACCAGAAGGAACCUCUGAACAGACUGACAGGAAUACGACUGCAUCCUGAAACUCUUGUGCUUCUGGAAGACCAGCUGUAGACUUUGGUAGCAAUGUUACCCACAAUUCCAUCAGCAUAUUAAUGCUUAAAUUCACACUUUUGGAAUAAAAAAUCAUUCAUAAAUUGACAGAGUGAAACUGGAGUUCUGCACUUUCUUUUCCUUAAAUGACUGUAAUUCGCUUCUAUCAGGCUGCCCAAAGAGGUUGUUAAAAACUCUCCAGCUGACCCAGAAUGCAGCUGCAGCAGGUGCUGACUGGAACCAGGAAAAGAGAUCCCAUUAGUCCAGUAUUGGCUUCUCCAGCCCACCAGCGACCUCGACUGUCAGUGGUGGAUGUAGCUAAUUUACUGCAGCUUCUAUCUGCUGACGGCUGCAAUGAAGCCAGUUAAAAGGGACACAAACCUACUUUUCUGAAUAACUAUUAAAGGUUAGACAGCGAGAAAGGAGAGGAGAACAAAAGAAAGGUUACGGACAGAGAGGAUAUCUUUAUACCGGGUUACUUGUUGCACUCCUGCCUUGGGUUGCUGGUAACCAUGGAUACCUCCGCAUCACUUUUGUUCCAAAUUUGCAGAUGCGCUUCUUUUGUGCUGUGGACCCGAUCCGUGUGUGUCGGCUG
RNAcentral lists this long non-coding RNA (1037 nucleotides) under Takifugu rubripes (torafugu). RNAcentral describes it as "lncRNA (ENSTRUG00000027533.1)". Lineage: Eukaryota; Metazoa; Chordata; Actinopteri; Tetraodontiformes; Tetraodontidae. The record is from RNAcentral.